UGGGGAAUAUUGCACAAUGGGCGAAAGCCUGAUGCAGCAACGCCGCGUGAGUGAUGAAGGCCUUCGGGUUGUAAAGCUCUGUCUUCUGGGACGAUAAUGACGGUACCAGAGGAGGAAGCCACGGCUAACUACGUGCCAGCAGCCGCGGUAAUACGUAGGUGGCAAGCGUUGUCCGGAUUUACUGGGCGUAAAGGAUGCGUAGGCGGAUACUUAAGUCAGAUGUGAAAAUCCCGGGCUUAACUUGGGAACUGCAUUUGAAACUGGGUAUGUCGAGUGCGGGAGAGGAAAGUGGAAUUCGUGGUGUAGCGGUGAAAUGCGUAGAGAUUAGGAAAAACACCAGUGGCGGAGGCGACUUUCUGGACCGUAACUGACGCUG
RNAcentral lists this ribosomal RNA (376 nucleotides) under uncultured bacterium. Its description in RNAcentral is "bacterial SSU rRNA". It matches the Rfam family "Bacterial small subunit ribosomal RNA", at positions 355 to 748 of the family's 1533-position model. The record is from RNAcentral.